RNAcentral lists this long non-coding RNA (209 nucleotides) under Elaeis guineensis (African oil palm). Its description in RNAcentral is "long non-coding RNA (EGUI_LNC026919)". Lineage: Eukaryota; Viridiplantae; Streptophyta; Magnoliopsida; Arecales; Arecaceae. The record is from RNAcentral.
UUUUAGUUAGUAAUUUUUUAUUAUGUUUCAAGAAUACGUUACUAUUUUUGUAGUAUUUGGUUUGUACUAAAAUAAAUUUUAAAUCAAUACGAGAAAAGAUCUUGUCUUUUCAUUUAUUUUUAUUUUUUUUAUUUUAUUGAUUUUUUAUAUUUUUUUUACUUUUUUCGUUCGUUUUUUCUAUUCGUAGGAGUCUCAACUUGGUAGGAGAC